UGUUGAUGCAUCAAGGCUGCACGAUCUAUUUUUUGUUGAGUCAGUUUGUUAAAGUCCUAUUUUGUAGGGUAUUUAGCUGCAUGUUAUCUAUUCUGUUAGUUUAUUGUAGAUUUAUUCUGUUAGUUUGUGGGUAACAUGUGUU
Molecule: long non-coding RNA, 142 nt
Organism: Rhodamnia argentea
Lineage: Eukaryota; Viridiplantae; Streptophyta; Magnoliopsida; Myrtales; Myrtaceae
Exons: 3
Source: RefSeq, a predicted model, not a curated record